AUGUAGCUUAAUGAUAGAGUACAUGCCUAAUAUGUAUAAGGCCCUGGGUUUAGUUCCCAGCAU
This 63-nucleotide transfer RNA is filed under the name Dipodomys ordii (Ord's kangaroo rat). It matches the Rfam family "tRNA", at positions 5 to 66 of the family's 71-position model. Rfam says of the family: Transfer RNA (tRNA) molecules are approximately 80 nucleotides in length. Their secondary structure includes four short double-helical elements and three loops (D, anti-codon, and T loops). The record is from Rfam by way of RNAcentral. Lineage: Eukaryota; Metazoa; Chordata; Mammalia; Rodentia; Heteromyidae.